GACUUCUACAGGACCAUCGGAUUCAGCUUCGGAGUUGGAGUUACCUGUCCCCAAGGAGGAAGACUGGAAGGCCAUCGCUGCCGAGUUCCUGGAGAGGUGGAAUUUCCCAUUGACGGGAAACAUGUACUAAUCCAUGUUCCACCGUGCUCGGUUCGCAAUUCUACAACUACCGGGCCACAUCCUGUUCAACAAGGUCCUCAGUGGUCACUUCCGUGAGGUUCAUAACAAUCUCAGGUGGUCCUAGAUCCAGAGGUGCUUCCUCCAUUUCAUCAUCUUCCAUGGCUGCACCGGUGAAGGUCAUACUUGUGGAUGAUGUAGAUGUUGUAGAGGGUCUCGCUGCACCGGUUGUGGUUGCACUAGUACAUGACAUAGAGGGCAAUCCAACUAUUGUGGAGACUUGUCUCCAAGCUGCAUUUUUUGUGUUUACAUCCCUGUAGCUGUCAGCAGUUUUGUCAAAAGGACACAACUGCAACAAGUGUGUAUAUACCUGCAUUCUGUACUGUUGCGUAGCUGUGUAACAUGUUAUGCAACAUUGACGCAAUUGGCGCACUCGGUGUGUUUGAAGCGUCAGGCUUCCUGAUAGUUAGAGAUGAGAGAAAAUGUUGGUCAUUCAAAGGCUAUUUUUACUUGGGAAAUAGUAUAAUUGUGCUGGACCUUUUAAAGUAAAUUAUGUUCUCAAAUCGUUGUUCAGUGAUAAUAGUAAUUUGUCUGAUCACAAUACAUUUCUUAAUAAAAUAAAUAAAAUAG
This is a non-coding RNA of Oncorhynchus mykiss (rainbow trout), 747 nucleotides long. The record is from RefSeq and is a predicted model, not a curated record. NCBI's taxonomy places the organism in Eukaryota, Metazoa, Chordata, Actinopteri, Salmoniformes, Salmonidae.